AUGAAAUAUACAGAAAGCAUUUCUUGGGGCAAGAGGAUGAGGAGAUUCUGCAGAAGUUCAGUACAAGCAGAGCCAGCGUUGAUCCUGACAGGAUUUGGUGCUGGGAAAAAAAACUUCAUCUGUAUGCCAAAAUGUCCGGGAAAGACUUUUGUUUUACUUCCAACUAUUUUUGAGCAGACCAUGGAAUAUAUUGAUGACACUUUAAUAUUUGGAAAGACCAUGAUUAGUACAUUCAUUGAGGUGAGUGUUUUAUGCUGUACCCAAGAAGGUGAUUUGUGAUAUCACUUCUUUCUUAAUGACUCUGAACUUGGGAGUGUGGGAGGUGUCUCUGUGAUUUUUGUUAUUGCUCUUUUGUGUACUUCCUUUGAAAUGCAGUGUCAGAAUGCCCAAAAAUAGAGAUCUUCAGGGCUUUAAGUUUCCAAAGACAUGUUGCACAAAUCAUGAAGUAUAUCCUAUGGCUUCUCUAAAUCUUUAUGAAACUGGAAUUUAGUGUAGUGUCAGUAUCAAGUGCUGCAUCUGCGCUGUUUCCUGUGCAGGUGUUUAUUAAUAACUUCCAUCUUUUUGAUUGCUUUUGCAGGUGUUAAAGAACUUUCAAUUAUGAGGAAAAUUUCGGGGUCCAGAAAACCAAGUGCCUACUGUUACUUAGAUAAUCAGGAUGAUAGCUCAGGAAGAAAAGGGAAAAUAUUAUGCUUCUAACCUGAAUUUAAAAAAGUCAGUCGUAACUUAGAACAGUAUUAUUUGGUUGGUUCUGCUUUGCUUUGAAAAUUAAGGAAAGUUGAUUGUUACUGGAGCCAAAAAGGGAAGCAUAAUUAAAGGAGAAUGGUGUAGAAAUGUAAUCUGUGAUGGAAGAAAAUUUGUAAUGUGCUUUCAUUAAUUGUGAUCUAAUGAUGCCACAGGAGUGGUCCUAGAUAGGAAAGACAGCUGAUCUGGAUAAUACUGUAAUAUUGCAAUACAGAUUGAAUUGUAACUGAGAUUCUGAGCAUUAACACUCUCUGUUCAGUCUAAAUGAUUGAGAAAAAAACCCAAACAAUUCUGUUGUUCUAUGGAAAAUGUGAUCUGAAUAGGUUCUAAAAGCUGACUCUUUUUAAUGCUGCAGGUGUGACUUCAGUUUUCUGCAGAAAGUGAACCUGGUUCAACUUGGUUUGCCUCCCGUAUCACAGGUGUGUUCCUACAGCAGGGUUUUCACUUCUUCAUAAUAUUUGAAGUCUUCUGUGCUUAGAAUAGAGAUAUGUCAGUAUGGAAGGAAAUGAGGAAAUGUCACAAGUUCUGUCUUCUUUGUGAACUGAACAAAUUAGACUUCCUUCUGUGGAAAACCCUUUGCUGGAGAUGCCAUCUGUAGAUGAACUCUUUUAGUGUUUUGGGACUUGGGCAUACUCGAUCACCUGUAUAUUUCCUCUGAAAAAUAAUAGAAAACAGGUAAAACUGGCUGCCUCUAAUUCUGUUCGGACUGUUUAAAUACAAGUCACUCAAACCAAGCAUUUUGUUUCAGAUAAAAAUCCUGUUGGUGUAGAUUUGUCUUACUUUACAUUAAACUGUAGAAAGACUUAUCAUGAGAAUUUUUAGUAGCUUACAAGGACUAUUCUUUCUUAAUGUUUUAAUGUCUUCUUAAAUAUGUUAAAUACAUGAAACCAAUAUGAUACACAAUUAAAGUGGUACAUGCUGCCGCUGUAAGUAUAUCUUCAAACUUAGACUUCUGAAUACCUUUUUAACUUUUUUUUUUUAAUUGAAAUUUUACAGGGAGUUGAGUUAGUGUAAAGGAAUUGCAAGAGCUGUCUUUAAACAAGGAUUUAACUGUUGCUGAAAGACAUUCCACGUUUCCAGUGUUCAGGCUAAAAACUGUGAAAUCUGCACGUAGUUCUGGCUACAGCAAUUUCUAACACUUCUUGUGAUCAGAGAUAAAACCUGUAAUUUAAAUACUGUAUUAUCAGUUUAUAAAAACAGAAGCAAAACAUUUAAAGAACCAGUGCUUACAGAUUUAUAUCGUAAUUUGAGUAUUUUAGAACUUGUAUUGGCUUCGUGAUGUCAUGCAGGAUGGAAUGUUGUGAAUAAAUUCUUCCUUUAGUCUGGCCA
Lonchura striata (white-rumped munia) is the source of this 2070-nucleotide long non-coding RNA. Lineage: Eukaryota; Metazoa; Chordata; Aves; Passeriformes; Estrildidae. The record is from Ensembl.